This 227-nucleotide ribosomal RNA is filed under the name uncultured bacterium. Its description in RNAcentral is "partial 16S ribosomal RNA". It matches the Rfam family "Bacterial small subunit ribosomal RNA", at positions 1266 to 1500 of the family's 1533-position model. The record is from RNAcentral.
UGCGGAUCUCGAAAGCCUGUCCCAGUUCGGACUGGAGUCUGCAACCCGACUCCACGAAGUUGGAUUCGCUAGUAAUCGCGCAUCAGCCAUGGCGCGGUGAAUACGUUCCCGGGCCUUGUACACACCGCCCCGUCAAGCCAUGGGAGCCGGGGGCGCCUGAAGUCCGGGACCGCGAGGACCGGCCUAGGGCGAAACUGGUAACUGGGGCUAAGUCGUAACAAGGUACC